RNAcentral lists this ribosomal RNA (472 nucleotides) under Brookesia exarmata. RNAcentral describes it as "partial 16S ribosomal RNA". It matches the Rfam family "Bacterial large subunit ribosomal RNA", at positions 1852 to 2606 of the family's 2925-position model. The record is from RNAcentral. Lineage: Eukaryota; Metazoa; Chordata; Lepidosauria; Squamata; Chamaeleonidae.
GUAACGCCUGCCCUGUGGAAACCCUAAACGGCCGCGGCAAACCCGUGCAAAGGUAGCACAAUCACUUGUCCCUUAAAUAGGGACCCGUAUGAAAGGCAACAUGAGAGGGAACCUGUCUCCUAAGAUAAGCCAAUGAAAUUGAACUACCAGUACAAAAGCUGGUAUCUCCUAGCAAGACAAAAAGACCCCGUGGAACUUUAACAAGCCAUUAACAAAACUUAAUAUUAGUUUCGGUUGGGAAAACCACAGAAAAACUAAACUUCUGUACAAAUAUAGACCAACAAGUCUAUAAUCCACAAGAUCCAGUCACACUGAUUAAUGAAACAAGCUACCCCGGGGAUAACAGCGCCACCUUCUUUAAAAGUCCAUAUUAACAAGAAGACCUACGACCUCGAUGUUGGAUCAGGGUACCCUGACGGUGCAGCAGCUGUCAAAGGUUCGUUUGUUCAACGACUAAUACCCUACGUGAUCU